This is a long non-coding RNA of Triticum aestivum (bread wheat), 669 nucleotides long. RefSeq lists it as uncharacterized. The record is from RefSeq and is a predicted model, not a curated record. The transcript is spliced from 3 exons. Lineage: Eukaryota; Viridiplantae; Streptophyta; Magnoliopsida; Poales; Poaceae.
AGAAGGAUAAAAGCAUGGAUGCAUCUAGCUGCUUGCAUUGCUUAUUUAACUUAAUAUUAGGAGAUCCGUGGGAGAUAAGUUGCUGGGCUCUACUUGCCUUCACCUCCAGAAAUAUCAAGAGAGGCUGGGAGGCUAGCGGAGAAUUGCAUUGACGAUAUCGAUGGCAAUCAUCAAUCCAAUAUCCACGACGCUUUCAACUAAGUUGCAGUGCCCUAAUGGUAGGCCACUACCAUUUACAUGAAGGCUUAGGUUAGCAUAUCGAUGUUCAUGCUUUGGUUCUACGCUCUGCACAUCAGUGAUGGGUAGGAGCAGCCUAUGAUCGAGUCACAAGAAAAAGUCCCAAUACAGAUGUACGUCCAGCCUAUGCUAUUGUCUCAUUUGAGGAGAAAAACUUCUUUGAAAACUGAGACCGCUCAAGAUGGUAAUUAGUUGUAGUUCCAUUUUUUUUCUUUCUUACAGAAUAUGAUAUACACUAUAUAAAACAAUUUAUAGCCCGAGAAAGUAAUACUACCAGAGGCCUAGAGGUCUGGAUAUCAGGGGCAUGAGACAACCUGGGAUUGUUCAGGGCAGCGCUGCUGGACACGUUGGUCCGCAAGCCAAACCUGUCGCUGUCCAGUUCAAUAGACUAGGAAAAUCAGGACCUUCAUACAUGCACUUGAGGUAUGCAAU